This 122-nucleotide transfer RNA is filed under the name Kwoniella dejecticola CBS 10117. Its description in RNAcentral is "tRNA-Leu". The record is from RNAcentral. Lineage: Eukaryota; Fungi; Basidiomycota; Tremellomycetes; Tremellales; Cryptococcaceae.
GUUACGGUACACAAGUGGUCAAAGUGGUUGGCUUUAGGAGAGCUUUUCCAAGGUAAAACGAGGAGGGCACGAUCAUCGCCAAUGCCCUCAGGGCUUCGUGCGUUCAAACCGCACCCGUAGCA